GAGUUUGAUCUUGGCUCAGGACGAACGCUGGCGGCGUGCCUAACACAUGCAAGUCGAGCGGAGACAGCGAGUAGCUUGCUAUGAGCUGUUUUAGCGGCGGACGGGUGAGUAACGCGUGAGCAACCUUUCCCAGACAGGGGAAUAACACACCGAAAGGUGUACUAAUACCGCAUAAGACCACGGAUCACAUGGUUCUGGGUAAAAGAUUUAUCGGUUUGGGU
RNAcentral lists this ribosomal RNA (221 nucleotides) under uncultured microorganism. RNAcentral describes it as "partial 16S ribosomal RNA". It matches the Rfam family "Bacterial small subunit ribosomal RNA", at positions 9 to 225 of the family's 1533-position model. The record is from RNAcentral.